ACCUACAGUCUCUUUAGGGGAUGGAAGGGAGAAACAAAGAAUCAAAAGUGCAAACCUAUUUAUUAGUACUCAAAGGGUCAAUGGUCUUUCAUUUUGUGUGCUUUUGAUUAACUUGUCUGUCUGACAUUUCAACUGAGACAGUCUAAACUCCUCUAACCCUUUUUUAUAUUGUCUCUGUGAUAUCUUUUCUUAGGUGCCAAUUAAAAAACUGUUCUCAUCACAGACAGGCAAAACAGAUCAUGCAGCUGAGAGAAGUCUGCUAUAGUUGAUCAAAGGAAGGGAAAGAGAAAUGAAAGGGAUGAAACAAUUGAGGAAAAAAGCCAGCUAUGAAGUGCCCCUCACAGGAGAACAAGACAGCAUCUUUGAACUUGAGAAACUUGAAGCCAAUAUUUGAAGAAGGUGUUAAGAGGAAUCUGCCUGAGUUACAACUAAUUACUAAUUACAACUUUAUAGACAAGGAGAAGUGUAUCCAUCUAGCAUCUGACAUUGCUGAUUUCAACAUAAAUAAGAAUAGGAAUGAGAAAACCCACUUUUAAGUCUCCAGGGCUUAUUAUCCCUCAGUCCUUUUGGGUUUGAAUUUGUGACUUUAUCUUCUCUGCCCUUUCCCCUUCCUUCCCAAGAGUCUCAAGUUUCUUUGGUUCCUUCUGCUGCUACUACUUUUAGUAGGCUACACAAAUCUAGGAGCAGAUUAGGAAUGGAUCUGAUGUAGAUGCAGAGAGUUGGAAUAACUCACUGCUUAAGAGUCACUCCUAGGAGAACUUUCUGUACCCAUUAAGCAUUUACUGACUUUCUGAGAAGCCUCGAAAUUCACUGUGUCAGAGGGCAGAGUGCUUUUCUUCAGCAGACAAAUUAAAUUUUGAGUUAAAUCCCCAAAUGUGCCUGUUAGCUUAUAGUAUUAUAUCCUGGCAUUUUUCUGAGAUUUUAUUGACACUUCAGGGAUAUCAGUUACUUGUCACACCAAGGGCUGAAAUACCACUGGCCCAGCCCAUUGCUUCCAACAAAAUAACACAGAAGAGGUAUUUUCUGUAAUUCAAUUUUCUGAAUGAAAAUACCACUAUUUUAUUCCUCAAUUCAAACACAAACAUAUCCACAUACAAUGGUCCCACCUCUUCCUAAAAUCAGAGCUACAGAAUCUUAUUUGGCCAAGGAAGGAGUACUGGGAAAAUAUUGAAAGUGAGUGUAUAAAACCUGCAGUCUUGGCAGAAGCAGUGUAAGUAUACUUUGAGAUACUUUAUGGCUGACUUCUGCUAUGAAACAAUUUUAUGCUUAGCAGGUAGAAGCAUACAGGUUAUGACUGGAUUCUAUGUCUGGACAUGGAAAGAAGGAUAACAAAAUAUAAAGAGGCCCAUCACAAGCUCUGACUUUGGAUAAAUAAUAGGUAUUGCAAUGGGAUUUUUGUCCUCAUGGUUGCAGUACUAUCUAUAGAUCAGUAGAAAAUUCAGUGAACUGAACUUAUAAGAACAAUACAAUAAAUUCUCUUGUAAUUUAAUUUCUUUAUUAAAGUAAGGAAUUAGAGUGGUGUAAAAAGUGAUGACUCAGUUACUUUUGUAUAAUUCCUACUUUUUCUUGUACCUCCUAGGUAUGGUUUGCUUCCAUAAAACCUUCAUAAAAUAAAUCAAACCUGAAUAUAUUAUUUGUGAAGUAUAUUCAAAAAAAUUGAGUUGUUUAUAGUGUUGACUGAGAAAAAAAUGUGUGAGGACUUACAGAUUGCCUCAUAGAUCAUCUACAAAUGAGUGAAUCAGGCCUCUAAUGUUUUGGUUGUUAUUUGGUAGUUCAAGGAAAUAUACUGGAAAUAGGAAAAAAUCAGGGUUAGUUAGACAUUUAAAAUAUAUUUUAUUCAUAUUAUUCUAGUGUGUUUAAGGGAGACUAUAAAGAAAAAACAGGAGAGAUCUUUCACAUAUGUAAAUCUUCUCUUUCAUCUCACAUUUCUUGAAAGUUGCUCUGAGUGAUGAUUUCCUUAGUUCCUAGAUAUGAGAAAUAGACAGUCUAUAUGAACAGUGAUUUUACUUUAUAUGGUUUUCAAUUAUUUAUCUUCAUUUGCAGAGGCAAGUUGUAGUGUAUAUCAGGAUAGGAAUUGACCUCCAGAGUUCUGCAUCAUUAAAAUGAACAAAAGUAUAAAGAUAUAUGAGUAAUUA
Parus major (Great Tit) is the source of this 2135-nucleotide long non-coding RNA. RefSeq lists it as uncharacterized. The record is from RefSeq and is a predicted model, not a curated record. The transcript is spliced from 3 exons. NCBI's taxonomy places the organism in Eukaryota, Metazoa, Chordata, Aves, Passeriformes, Paridae.